UUGUCCAUUUUACCCCUGUUAAA
This 23-nucleotide microRNA is filed under the name Lotus japonicus. Its description in RNAcentral is "lja-miR11144-5p". Lineage: Eukaryota; Viridiplantae; Streptophyta; Magnoliopsida; Fabales; Fabaceae. The record is from miRBase by way of RNAcentral.